This 497-nucleotide ribosomal RNA is filed under the name uncultured bacterium. RNAcentral's name for it is "partial 16S ribosomal RNA". It matches the Rfam family "Bacterial small subunit ribosomal RNA", at positions 28 to 507 of the family's 1533-position model. The record is from RNAcentral.
GAUGAACGCUGGCGGCGUGCCCAAUACAUGCAAGUCGAGCGAACAGACGAGGAGCUUGCUCCUCUGACGUUAGCGGCGGACGGGUGAGUAACACGUGGAUAACCUACCUAUAAGACUGGGAUAACUUCGGGAAACCGGAGCUAAUACCGGAUAAUAUAUUGAACCGCAUGGUUCAAUAGUGAAAGACGGUUUUGCUGUCACUUAUAGAUGGAUCCGCGCCGCAUUAGCUAGUUGGUAAGGUAACGGCUUACCAAGGCGACGAUGCGUAGCCGACCUGAGAGGGUGAUUGGCCACCUUGGAACGGAGACACGGUCCAGACUCCUACGGGAGGCAGCAGUAGGGAAUCUUCCGCAAUGGGCGAAAGCCUGACGGAGCAACGCCGCGUGAGUGAUGAAGGUCUUCGGAUCGUAAAACUCUGUUAUUAGGGAAGAACAAAUGUGUAAGUAACUAUGCACGUCUUGACGGUACCUAAUCAGAAAGCCACGGCUAACUACGUG